Molecule: ribosomal RNA, 120 nt
Filed under: Lepisosteus oculatus (spotted gar)
Lineage: Eukaryota; Metazoa; Chordata; Actinopteri; Semionotiformes; Lepisosteidae
Source: RNAcentral
UCCAGCUGCCAUAUCACCUUACAACUCACAACUGGCAGCUCCACUGAAGCUAAGCAGGUGUAAGUCUGGUCAGGACUCGGAUGGGAGACCUCCUGGGAAAAACUAAGGUUGCUGCUGGAA